Small nuclear RNA from Delphinapterus leucas (beluga whale), 103 nucleotides. NCBI's taxonomy places the organism in Eukaryota, Metazoa, Chordata, Mammalia, Artiodactyla, Monodontidae. The record is from Ensembl.
GUUCACUUUGGCAGCACAUAUCCUAAAAUUGGAAAGAGAGAGAUGAUUAGCGUGCCCCCUGCACAAGGAUGGCACACAGAUUCAUGAAGCAUUCCAUGUUUUU